Long non-coding RNA from Malaclemys terrapin pileata, 2605 nucleotides. RefSeq lists it as uncharacterized. NCBI's taxonomy places the organism in Eukaryota, Metazoa, Chordata, Testudines, Emydidae. The record is from RefSeq and is a predicted model, not a curated record. The transcript is spliced from 4 exons.
CACACACACUUUCUUGUUUCUCCUGUAUACACCAGACCUGUCUUCCAGAAUCCUUGUAUAUGUCACUUUAAUAUUUAGACACAAUCAAUAACAUAACAACGGAACAUGAGUCAUUGUUACCCCGCUUCACCGCCCCAGACAAAUCAUAUACUUCUUUUAUGAGCUAGUCAAUCCUCAAUCUUAAAAAUCCAGAACCAUUUGCUUUCAUUUGCACAUACAGAAGGUAAACUCUAGGACUGCAGUAUCCGCUCUAACAUCUGCAUCGCUGGAAGUAACAUCAACGUAAAACUGACAUUGACCACGGUACUAGAGACUGUACAAAUCACAAUUUUUAUUCGACAAUUGAUUUCGCAGCAGGGAUGGUUUUAACUCCUCCGAGUAAAGGCACAAAGCCAGAAUAAAAAUGAUCACUACCAAAAAAAAAAAAAAAAAGUUGUAUAUUCCCACCCUCCUCGUUUCCCCCCCCCCCUACACUCAUGAAUCGGUGGAGAAGGAGGGAACAAAAUAAAAGGUGUUUAAAAAAAAAAGCAUCUUCUCAUAAGCUGCCAAGUCUGCCUUCCCAAUUAUUCAUGAAGUCAAUGGUAGCCAUUUUCAUUUAAGGUACAGAAAAAGGAAGAGAGGGGGAAAAAAGGUCAUGAGAAAACCCCCAAAACACAAAAUGAGCCGUAGGUAGAGAACCGAAUCCACAUUCAUCCAGUGGUUAUUCUACAGUCAAUUCAUUUCGAAUGGCUGCGCUGCACUGAGCUUUUGGGGGGAGUGGGGGGGGGGAUAAUCAAUCCGUGCUGUGCCCAGUCCUCCACCAGCCGCUGCUGCUGUUGAUGCAGAGGUUAGCAGCUGCAUCGCGGUGGUGUUGUGAUGAUUUUUUUUUUUUUGCCGCAGUCUACGUCCAUCGUAUAAACCAACACGCAUUGAGAUGAAUAAUGGAAGUACAGUACUGAAGACAGCCAAGCUGAUUUAUCACAGCGAAUCAUUCACUGCUCCAGCCCCAGCUCUCAAUUAUGCCACUUUAAAUCACGCGCACACACACAGAAAGAGAGAGAGAGAGAUAAGCUAUUUGUGGCCAGAUCUAGUGAAAGAGAAAGAAAAAAAAAUCCGGAUUGUUGAACAGAGGGAAGUGGGAAAUAAAAGACAAAAGGGAUCUUUCCCCCCAGCGUGGACAAGCGCUCUGUAAUGCAGCUUGGAAGAAAAUAAAGUCUGAACAAAACUAGACGGUGAGACAAGCACGUAGGAGAGGGUGAAACUGACGUUAACGCAGACUCUAUGGGAAUCUGGUCACUGGGAAGCAAAACCCUCUCUCCUUUGCUCGCUCUCACACAAUUUUUAAAAGAAACGCACUAGAACUGAGUUGCGACGAAACUUGGCUUUAAAGGUAUUCACACGCUGGACACGCUUCAGUAGAGGUUUCUUUGGAGAACGUAUGGUGGGGAAGAGAGACCAGGGAGGCAUCUGCACGUAAGAGAGGCGAAAGGCAGCCUUGCUUUAUAAUCUCUUAUGCCAAGAAUUAAUUGCUAAACUUUCUUUAAAGGGUCUUGGGUUGUGGUCAAAAUGCACUAGAAGGCUCCCGAAAGACCUAUAUGUAUAUCUAUGGUAUCUUUCAGGGGGGACACACACUCACCCUCUCUCUCUAUAUAUAUAUGUAUUAUGGCUCCCAAUGAAUUUUACAGUAGAGACGGAUACUUGUCAAAUGUAUAUAUUUUUAGUCGGCAUUCAUAGAUGCAUUUAAAAUAGAGCGAGGUGCCUCUAUUAAGAGCUGUUGAGUCAUUCUGCAAAUCCUGCCAGCACGGUUUUGCACAACAUUUAUAUUAUGUCUGUUACUAUUCUUGUUUUUAUUAACUGGCUGUAAAUCCCUGCAAUUAACACAAAGCCCUUCAGGUAACGUCCAGACGGUAAAUGGGAAUCGAUAAAAGCAAGGACAUUCGUAAUCAGCACUUCCGUCUUGUCACCUGCCCUCUGGUGACGAGGUAUUACAGUGAUCGGAGUCGGUGUGAAACGGAACACAGCACAGGUGCUACACUCCUAUCAACGUACGGCUGUGCAAACUACUACCCCGCACCACUCCGGAGGGACUGGAAAAGUGCUGCAUAGUGACUCCUUAUCACAAUGCACAGGGCCUGAUCCUGAAGCCAAACUUCAGAGAAGUCAAAGGGAGUUUUACCGAAGUAGACAGCAAGAUGAGGAUCGACAGGCAGCGAUCGAUCCAGUGGGGGUCAAUUUAUCAUGUCUAGUCUAGACACGAUAAAUCAACUGCUGAGCGCUCUCCCGUCGACUCCGGUACUCCACCGGAGCGAGAGGCACAGGAGGAGUUGAUGGGGAAGUGUCAGCUGCCGAUUCACUGCAGUGAAGACACCGCGUUCAUCUGUGAAGGAUUGUCCACCUGGUGCCUUAUCACAGGCUCUGGAAUGAGGCCAGGAGAUGGCAACAAUAUGAACUGCUACAGGGGAUAACAAGGACUCUGUUAUGACUGGGAACGUUUGCAGUACUAUAAAUAACUCUAUCAAUAUUGUGAUAAUGGCACUUUAAAGAGGUCUAUUUUACAAGUGUUGAAUGUAAGAGAGACGGCAGCUGUGCUCAUUAAUUCUGAAGUAUGCUCCUCUCCAUGUACAAU